AUCAUGCGAGAAAAAUCCAUGUUGAGCGAGUAAUUUAUUGUCGGGUUCGGCUUGCAGCAGUGACAAAAUUGGCGAAGCGAUAAAAGAAAACCAACAAACAGUGGAAAUGCUGAAUUGGACUUUAUCAUGGUUUCUCAUUUUACCCAUUCUCUAUCAGUGAAGAACUUGCCUUGGCUCAGUGAAGAAUUUUUAGAGUCUCCAUUUUCUCAAAGUUGUGAACCACUCCAUCGUCGUCACGGUAACCAUAGACAAUUGUAGGAAUACCCACCAGGAAACUCUGGGCCCACCACUUUAUAACUUAAACUUGAUUCUUUGGCAUGAAGGUCAACAGCAUCAACUUCUCCGGAGAACACUGCAUAAAGAAAAACAAUUUUAUAUAAUACUUUAUAGUUUUGAAAUAAAUAAAAAAAAAACCCAAGAAA
Molecule: long non-coding RNA, 422 nt
Organism: Ostrea edulis (European flat oyster)
Lineage: Eukaryota; Metazoa; Mollusca; Bivalvia; Ostreida; Ostreidae
Exons: 2
Source: RefSeq, a predicted model, not a curated record